Molecule: ribosomal RNA, 283 nt
Filed under: uncultured bacterium
Lineage: Bacteria
Description: partial 16S ribosomal RNA
Rfam family: Bacterial small subunit ribosomal RNA
Source: RNAcentral
AGCGAACGCUGGCGGCAUGCUUAACACAUGCAAGUCGCACGGGGCGGGGGCGAACCCUCGUCAGUGGCGGACGGGUGAGUAACGCGUAGGUAUCUGUCCCUGGGUGGGGAGUAACCGUGGAAACUACGGCUAAUACCGCAUGACACCUGAGGGUCAAAGGCGCAAGUCGCCUGGGGAGGAGCCUGCGUCCGAUUAGCUUGUUGGUGGGGUAACGGCCUACCAAGGCGACGAUCGGUAGCUGGCUGAGAGGAUGAUCAGCCACACUGGGACUGAGACACGGCCC